Molecule: ribosomal RNA, 481 nt
Filed under: uncultured bacterium
Lineage: Bacteria
Description: partial 16S ribosomal RNA
Rfam family: Bacterial small subunit ribosomal RNA
Source: RNAcentral
GACGAACGCUGGCGGCGUGCUUAACACAUGCAAGUCGAACGGGAUCCGGGCUUUCGGGUUUGGUGAGAGUGGCGAACGGGUGAGUAACACGUGAGUAACCUGCCCCCUUCUUUGGGAUAACGUCGGGAAAUCGGCGCUAAUACUGGAUAUUCUUGCUGCAUCGCAUGGUGUGGUUUGGAAAGGGUUUUUGGUGGGGGAUGGGCUCGCGGCCUAUCAGCUUGUUGGUGGGGUGAUGGCCUACCAAGGCUUUGACGGGUAGCCGGCCUGAGAGGGUGUCCGGCCACACUGGGACUGAGACACGGCCCAGACUCCUACGGGAGGCAGCAGUGGGGAAUAUUGCACAAUGGGCGCAAGCCUGAUGCAGCGACGCCGCGUGAGGGAUGACGGCCUUCGGGUUGUAAACCUCUUUCAGUAUGGAACAAGGAUCCUUCUUGUGGGGGGUUUGAGGGUACGUGCAGAAGAAGCGCCGGCUAACUACGUG